Molecule: transfer-messenger RNA, 373 nt
Filed under: Chitinophagaceae
Lineage: Bacteria; Pseudomonadati; Bacteroidota; Chitinophagia; Chitinophagales
Also listed under: 1 other name
Description: Flavitalea sp016786745 Standard tmRNA
Rfam family: transfer-messenger RNA
About the family: Bacterial tmRNA, also known as 10Sa RNA or SsrA, is named for its dual tRNA and mRNA-like properties.
Source: RNAcentral
GGGGGUGCCCGGUUUUGACAGCAUAGAUCUUUGAAAGUGUAAGCAUGUCGUGCGUUGGAUAAUUAGCACGUAAAUCUGAAUAUUCAAACAUCAAAUGGCAAUACUCAGUAUGCCAUGGCUGCCUAAUCAGUGAUUAGUUAGUCAUUCGGGCCGCGGAGCAGGUCGUCCUGUUACCACGCUCUGCCGCCGACUCAAAACAAACACAGGAUGCUGCGGUUGAAGGCUGUGACAACCGUAUAAGAUCCAUUCAGCUAAGCGAUAGAUUGGUUGGUCCGUUUCCUGUUUGUCGCCGACAAGUAAUAAUGGAAUAAGCAUGUAGAAAGCUUUUGACGAAUAUGUUUGGACGCGGGUUCGACUCCCGCCACCUCCACCA